GAACCAAGGCCUUCUUCUCUGAGCUGGCUGAGCAGCUGGGAGUUUCUAGUUCUGGAAUCUUCUUUCUUCCAGCAUCAGCCAUGCAGGAAGGGCAGGAGGAGGUGAGGCCCACAGUCCCAGCCCGGGAGUAAGAAUCCUGUUGCUGUGUGAGCCUGCAUUUAUCAAACAAAGACCGAAGCAGAAUAGCAGCUGUGCUGUGAACACUAGAACCUGAGGCAGAGAUGAGCCUGGGACAACCAGCUGUCUCCCGGGCUGUCUCCGGGAUGACGCUCCCUGGAAUGCCUGCACGUGUUUCCAUUCCUUGGCUGCACCCAGCUCUGAAGAAAUCCUGUUACAUUCUUGAACUUGAGCCAGGCUAAAGGGCUCAGCUGAUCUUGAGGUCAAGAAGGGGCUUGUCUUUGGGCUUCAACAGGCACUCUGCCCCUAUGCCCAAGAUGAGAAGCCUGCACAGGACUUUUCAAUGGCAAGACCAGGCUGCAACUUCAAUGAUGGCAUCUCUCUAGACCGUCAUCUUAUCUGGGACAGGUAUGAAAGCAUUCCAUUUACAAUGGAAGAUCUGCUCUUUAGAGCAGACAUCUCUGGUGGAAUCCUAACUGGCCCCAUGUGGUGCCACCAAGCAGUACAGGUUUCCACCUCUUGUCAUGCCAGCUUGUGCAUUCCCUCAGGAUUGUGACAGUGAGCAAGGCCUGCAAAUGUACCUCAUACCCAGUGGGUCAAACAUCCAAAGAACAGAAUUCACUGCUAUCUCUGUACAGUAACACUGCUUUUAGUUGUUGUGUAAGUUCUUUUAGUUUUUGUAUGAGUUCUUAGGCAGCCUGAUACUUACCCAGAAUAAGAAACACAGUCUUUUCCCUUCUUUCCAUAAAUAAAUAUGGGGCUGUGGGGCCCCAUAGGACCUUGCCCUCAAGCUGGAUCAACAAUGGUAGAGAAUGUUCCAUCCUCCAAAGGGAGGAUGGACAACAUCCUCUAUGCUACACCUGAGGAAGAUGGGUCGAUACUGGGGCAGCUUGGAAUGUUCCUGCUCAUGACCACAGAAUGUGAGCUCAGAUCUAGAGGGAUGUAGAGGUUACACAGGCUCCUAAGCUAAUUAUGGAUCCCAGGUCACAUCAAAUUGAUGGGGUUUACAAUAAUAUUUAUACCCCUUCCUCAUAUUAGGGUGCUACUCUCUUCCCUGAUCCAGCUUUCUGGUCCUUUUCCCAGCCAUGACAUCAUCUCCCCAGACAAUAAUUAGCAUCCACCUGCAUAUCAGAUUUCAGGCUCAGGAAAAAAAAAAAAAAAACUAGUAUAGCUACAGGCCCUUUGAAAUAUAACUAAAAUAUGCCUAUUAGCUAUCUACAAAAUGGGGGACCCCCCCCUGAAACACUUCACAUGCACUAUUCCAGUCUUUAGGUCCAUGAUUGUCCAAAAAUUUGUUUGGCUUUGUAUAUUAACUCUUUUUUCAGCCACCAGGUUCCAGAUGCUAUCAGGAUGCGACCAGACCUCCCUGGACAGACAACCCCACCAAUAUGCCUUGGAGCUCUGCUUCCCCAGAGCCCUUCCCCACUAGGGAAAGAGAGAGACAGGCUGGGAGUAUGGAUCGACCUGUCAACGCCCAUGUUCAGCGGGGAAGCAAUUACAGAAGCCAGACCUUCCACCUUCUGCAUCCACAAUGAUCUAGGGUCCAUACUCCCAGAGGGUUAAAGAAUAGGAAAGCUAUCAGGGGAGGCGAUGGGAUACAGAGGUCUGGUGGUGGGAAUUGUGCAAAGCUGUACCCCUCUUAUCCUAUGG
This is a long non-coding RNA of Erinaceus europaeus (western European hedgehog), 1767 nucleotides long. RefSeq lists it as uncharacterized. The transcript has 4 exons. Lineage: Eukaryota; Metazoa; Chordata; Mammalia; Eulipotyphla; Erinaceidae. The record is from RefSeq and is a predicted model, not a curated record.